RNAcentral lists this ribosomal RNA (461 nucleotides) under uncultured bacterium. RNAcentral's name for it is "SSU rRNA". It matches the Rfam family "Bacterial small subunit ribosomal RNA", at positions 26 to 518 of the family's 1533-position model. The record is from RNAcentral.
AGAAUCAACGCUGGCGGCGUGCCUAACACAUGCAAGUCGAACGAGAAAGUGGAGCAAUCCAUUAGUAAAGUGGCGCACGGGUGAGUAACACGUGACUAACCUACCCUUGAGUGGGGGAUAACCUAGAGAAAUCUGGGCUAAUACCGCAUAAUACCUUCGGGUCAAAGGAGCAAUUCGCUUAAGGAGGGGGUCGCGGCCGAUUAGUUAGUUGGCGGGGUAAUGGCCCACCAAGACUAUGAUCGGUAUCCGGCCUGAGAGGGCGCACGGACACACUGGAACUGAAACACGGUCCAGACUCCUACGGGAGGCAGCAGUGGGGAAUUUGCGCAAUGGGGGAAACCCUGACGCAGCAACGCCGCGUGGAGGAUGAAGCCCCGUUGGGGCGUAAACUCCUUUCGAUCGGGACGAUAAUGACGGUACCGAGAGAAGAACGCCCCGGCUAACUUCGUGCCAGCAGCCGC